AUUCGAUUGCUUCAAAAUAUCUGUCAUUGAUAAGGAUAAAAUAAAAAAUUGAUAUGUGAUUUUAUCAUUUUAAAAUUUCAUUAUGUGAAAUGAGUAUUUUGUAAACUUAGUUACAUGGUUUAGUAAAAGCUGGAAUUUCAGCUCGAUCGGGAACCGGCGCCUAGUGUUCUUCAGCUUCUUCGACGAGACGAAGAGAAGGUUGUAACGACGGUGCCUUUUGAGGAUUUCCUUCGCCAUCGCUACGGAAGCUGACAGCCCAUCUGCUGGAUGGUUUUGAAGCCGUCUUGAAUCUCAAUGAGAGAGCGAGAAGGCGCGUUGUGCAGAUUUCCCUCCAUCUGCAGAACUGGAAGUUGCUCGUGUUGAAGGCGUUAAUUCAUCGAGGAAGAAGAGGAGGAAGUGACAUUUUGGGCAUUGGUUAUGCCAACUGUGGUAAUCACAAGGACAAUAACGUGUCGGUUGCUUUUCCUCCCAUCGUUUCUUUGAGCUACAUGUUUUUUUUUUUUUUGUGUGAGAAAAAUUGUUAGUUAGGCGUGGUAAUUGCUUAGUAGUUUGGAUUGAUCAAG
Zingiber officinale is the source of this 563-nucleotide long non-coding RNA. RefSeq lists it as uncharacterized. The transcript is spliced from 3 exons. The record is from RefSeq and is a predicted model, not a curated record. Lineage: Eukaryota; Viridiplantae; Streptophyta; Magnoliopsida; Zingiberales; Zingiberaceae.